AGUGAAGAGGGAAGAGCUCAAAGUGUGAAUCUGGCAUGGCCCCGCCGUGACCCGAGUUGUGCACUAGAGACGUCGCCGUCCGCGCUUGAGACCCGAAGCUUUUAAGUCGUCUGGAAAGGCGCUUCACAGAGGGUGAUAGUCCCGUAUGUGGCUCUCGGUUGCACUCGCGCCUGUGAGGCACGCUCGUUGAGUCGCGUAGUUUCGUAUUGCUGCGCAAAUUGGGUGGUAGAUGCCAUCUAAAGCUAAAUAUACUGCCAUGUCCGAUAGCUCACAAGUACCGCGAGGGAAAGGUGAAAAGCACUUUGGAAAGAGAGUGAAACAGUUGUGAAAGCGCUAUCAGGGAAAGGUUGGCUCGCGCUGUCGUCCGUCCGUCCAUGCUUCACUGCUGGUUCGGCGAUGCGUCAGAACCCAUUGGGACCGGGAGACGUGGCGGCGGAGGAAUCGGCCCCUCGGGGUGUUGCAACUCUGCCUGCCGAGUGCUCGGGACCGAUGCGGGCUUGGGCAUGCGGCUCGCCGUUGUGCCCGCUCUGGCAACGCGUGCAGUCAACCACCCGUCUUGAAACACGGACCAAGGAGUGCAUCUCGCCUGCGAGUCGAAGGGUCUGUAAACCUGGAGGCGUAGCGAAAGCGUAGACGACGAACCCGCGAGGGGGCUGUCGCGCCCGUGCUCGCACGAGGUCGAGCAGGUGGGAUGCGACCCGAAAGAUGGUGAACUAUGCCCGGGUAGGAUGAAGCCGGUGGAAACGCCGGUGGAGGUCCGUAGCGGUUCUGACGUGCAAAUCGAUCGUGUAACCCGGGUAUAGGGGCGAAAGACCUAUCGAACCGUCUAAUGGCUGGUUCCCCCCGAAGUUUCCCUCAGGAUAGC
This 865-nucleotide ribosomal RNA is filed under the name uncultured Cantharellales. Its description in RNAcentral is "eukaryotic LSU rRNA". It matches the Rfam family "Eukaryotic large subunit ribosomal RNA", at positions 92 to 982 of the family's 3401-position model. The record is from RNAcentral. Lineage: Eukaryota; Fungi; Basidiomycota; Agaricomycetes; Cantharellales.